UUUGAUCCUGGCUCAGAUUGAACGCUGGCGGCAGGCCUAACACAUGCAAGUCGAACGGUAGCAGGAUGUGCUUGCACAUCGCUGACGAGUGGCGGACGGGUGAGUAAUGCUUGGGAACUUGCCUUUGCGAGGGGGAUAACAGUUGGAAACGACUGCUAAUACCGCAUAAUGUCUACGGACCAAACGGGGCUUAGGCUCCGGCGCAGAGAGAGGCCCAAGUGAGAUUAGCUAGUUGGUGGGGUAAAGGCUCACCAAGGCAACGAUCUCUAGCUGUCCUGAGAGGAAGAUCAGCCACACUGGGACUGAGACACGGCCCAGACUCCUACGGGAGGCAGCAGUGGGGAAUAUUGCACAAUGGGGGAAACCCUGAUGCAGCCAUGCCGCGUGUGUGAAGAAGGCCUUCGGGUUGUAAAGCACUUUCAGUUGUGAGGAAAAGUUAGUAGUUAAUACC
This 451-nucleotide ribosomal RNA is filed under the name LMWdDNA-degrading marine bacterium 39. RNAcentral describes it as "bacterial SSU rRNA". It matches the Rfam family "Bacterial small subunit ribosomal RNA", at positions 12 to 468 of the family's 1533-position model. The record is from RNAcentral.